UCUGGAAGUCAUCCUUGGGGUCGCCGUUGUAGUUCCCACACAGGCCACACAUCAGCUGGUAGUAGUUUCCAGGGACGGUGACCCGCACAUAGUACACAAGGUCGUAGGCCACACGCAGGCCGAAGUCGGUCUCAAUCACAACAUCUGAACCAUGCUGGGAGGCACGGAUCUGGCCGUUGGCCAGCACCACGGGCAGCUUC
Molecule: long non-coding RNA, 200 nt
Filed under: Homo sapiens (human)
Lineage: Eukaryota; Metazoa; Chordata; Mammalia; Primates; Hominidae
Description: HSALNT0259804
Source: RNAcentral